GAGGCAUUUUCCUAAAUCAAAAUCACCCGCAAUACAUCCCCCCCCAAAUAGCCAAAGGCCAAAGCCAACACCCAGAGCAAAGUUGCAAGGACCACCGGCCACAACGCGCCUGACCAUCCCCGCCGCCGUCGCGGCGACGUUUCAUUGACCGCAAAACUCGGAAGUUGCCGAUGUGCGCACAUACGAUAGCGAUUCGAAUCAGACGUUUCUUCUGACCUGUGGCUGUGACAAGGGCAACAGGCAGUAAACAACGCAUCCACCGAUUUUCGAAUUACUUGCUUUGCAAGCUCCUUAUUACGGCUCUAACGGUCUGAUUUUUGGCAACCAUGACUGAGUAUUGGGUUAGCCAGGGUAACAAAUGGUGUGACUUCUGCAAGAUCUACUUAUCAAAUAACCCCGCUAGCAUUAGGAAUCAUGAGCUCGGUCAGCGUCACAAAGAUAAUGUGGCGAAGAGGCUUGCUGAUAUGCGGAAAGAGAAGGCUGCUAAGGAGAAAGAAGAAAAAGAAGCGGCGCGACUCCUUGAGCAAAUAGAAGCAAAAGCAAGGCGCAGCUAUCAGAAGGACAUGACAAACCUUAAGGAUGCCCGAGAUUCACAUGCAUUAGAUAUAGAUGGUCAAGAGGAAUGGGAGUAUGACAGCACUUCAGGUUAUUACUACAAUCAGACCAAUGGUUUUUACUACGAUUCAAAGUCAGGCUUCUACUAUUCCGAUACUAUAGGCAAGUGGGUGACACAGGAAGAGGCCUAUGCAACACCUCAGUUUUCAUCAAAUGCUGGACAUAAAGAAAAAACUUUGAAAAAGCCAGUGUCAUCUUCAGAGUUGGGACUAGUUAAAGAAAACAAAACUGCUGCUAAAGGUCAAAAUGGGGCUCCACCCGGGCCAGUUGUUUCAGGUUCUGUAAACCCCAAGAGAUCUGUUAAAGGUGCUCCUUCAUCACUUACUGUUGGCAAGAGAAAGAGGCCAGAUGAGAAGCCAAAGGCUGUAUCUAAAGAAGAAGCAGCUGCGCUUAAAGCAAGGGUGGCUGCAAAGAAAAGAGUUGAAGAGAGAGAGAAGUCGUUGCAUGGCCUUUACAGACAUUGAUUUGAUUGCCUGAGGAAGUUCCUAAGUAUGCUUUUAAAGUUUUCUCGGCUAAUUGCAUCUGGCCAUGAAAAGUAUAAAUGCAACUGUGCAUGUUGGGCAAAGUUGGAUCUGAAGUAUGCUGGUUUCUUGUAAACUGGUACCUUCUCUGCAGAACUGUGAUCUUAUUGAUUGAUGGCUAUUAAAACGUAUGUGGAAGGCUAUUAUGGUGAAAGUAACUUCAUAAAGGUUGCCUUUGAGUGUAGAAGUUUCCAUUGUGCACUACAAGGGGAUGGAGCUAGUUUAACUUUACAGUGCUUGGUAGCUUUCUUCACACGGGAAAUGUGGGCUGAAUUUUGUUUUUCAUAGUUUAAUUAUUUGCAUGGUUUCUUUGGAACCUCGUUGAGAUCUAGACAUACACUAACAGAAACA
RNA transcript from Morus notabilis, 1487 nucleotides. It is a transcript of the gene named zinc finger protein ZOP1, with no coding region annotated. NCBI's taxonomy places the organism in Eukaryota, Viridiplantae, Streptophyta, Magnoliopsida, Rosales, Moraceae. The record is from RefSeq and is a predicted model, not a curated record. The transcript has 6 exons.